Non-coding RNA from Kogia breviceps (pygmy sperm whale), 1898 nucleotides. Lineage: Eukaryota; Metazoa; Chordata; Mammalia; Artiodactyla; Physeteridae. The record is from RefSeq and is a predicted model, not a curated record.
GACAGAUCUGAAAAGGCAACGAUUUCUGAGUGAUCAAGAUUGGUUUUCAUUACGGCUCGUAUUUUCACUGGUUUCAGGUUUACACUUAUCCUGUCCUGUGAUUAACCUCCCACCCGUGUUCCCGGCUGAUAACGCCACUUUCAUCAUAAACUACACGCCAAGACCUUAGGCUCCGGGCUCUAAACCGGGUACCCAGCGGCCGCCCGAGGUAGUAAACAAAGCCCCGCGCAGGCGCAAUAGCAGCAGAAGGGGGCAAACUUGGUGUGCUGUCAGCCAAUGGGGUUUUUCGUACAGUGAAAAGUGGAAAAACAACAACAAAAAUCCCCACACCGCAUUCUAAGGUGAUAAACUUGUUGGCUUUUCUCCAUUUUUUUUUUACAGACUUCUGGCUUUUGUUUCUGAAGAACUUGUGCGGCCUUCGGGGCCUCGUAGAGAAGCCCUUCCUCGGCCCCGCAGACCUGCCGCUGGCAUGUCGCCUACUUCUAGCCUCGUUUGUUCUCGCCGCGGAGUCUUGAUCUUUUUUAUUUGACGACAGCAUUAAUCCAUUGGGGCUGGAGGAGACGGGGGGGGCGUUAAAAGGCCUCAAAACACCCCCAAAAACAUUACUACUCCCCGGGCUGGCCCAAACAUCGCGAGAUCUGCCUGCGCGAACAGCGGACGCCCCCCUCACCCUCCGGGCGUUUGCUCAUGCGCUUGACUGAUCAUUUUUUAGCGCGAAGACGUUUAGAAACGUUUUGGCUGGUAAUAGUCAACCAGAUUUGACCCUCGAGAAAGGUCAGAGGAUAAUUCACGUGGACGCGAUGGAUUCGAGCACACAACACUACAUUCUUCGAGAUUUUGCAGUCACGACUCCACAUGCUUAUACGGUCGUCACUCUUUUCCGUUGCUCUGUUUCGGCCGUGAACUCUGUGAGGAAGUUUCAGCGAAUCGAGUAGUAAAGGCGUGGGCGUGGGCGAGCCGUCCAGGCUUUAAACCAGAGUGGGUAUGUGGGACACCUGCGCCAGCACUGGAGUUUGCCCUGCAGCGUCUGAAAGGAAGCAGGCUCUGAGCCAAGGGGAAGGCAGAAGACAGAUAUGGAUGUGUUCCCAAGCUUCCCUGGUGGUUUAUGGCAUUCUCCAAACUCCUCUGCAAGGGCUGUUCCUGACCAAGAAGACCCAAGGAGACCGUCUCUGAAAUAAAGUCCGGAUGAAGUUCUUAGAUUUGAUCCUUGCUGAAAUCAGCAUUUCCCUGGAACAAGUACACUUAACGCUAGCUACUGAAGUCAUCCGAAGUCAGCUUCUGGACAGAAGGGACCAUCUCCUUUCGUCUCUGGAUUUCUCGCACUUAGCACCCAACCCGUUUAUGAUAUCAUCUCAGUGUACCCUUGUGAAUGAAGAAUGGGAAGACUCAAGACUGACAGCAUUCUGGGGGCCCCGAGCCUAUUUUGUUUUGCACGCUUUUACGGGGAGGAUAGUGAGGAGGUAGAAGUGUAGUAGGAGAGAACUUGGCAACAGUCAGUAUUAUGUCUGAAAUUUACAUAUGCUAGUCAGACAGACCCUGGAGCAAUAGCAGACUAGAGUUCCAGAAGGAUCCAUAAAUUAUUUCCUGGGUAUUACCAAUCCCCCUGACAUUUUAUUUAUAUGUAGAAUGAAGUUCUCCUGAUAUUUUUAUUUACAUCUAGAUGGGGGCACCCCAAAUAGUCUCAUUUUCCGCUGAUGUUUUGCCCGGCACCAUCUCCCCGUGUUGAAAUAGUUCACCUAGGGUUGAGAGUGAAUGUCAUGAGAAGGUCAGUUCCUGCCCCAGGCAAUCCUGCCCUAAUCAGCUGUGCCUCCAAGUCCCUAGAACACUGCACCAAGAGCCCAGCCGGUAGGACUACAAGACUCCUCCCUGGAGAACCGUGGGGUCUUCAGAGUCAGAGU